UCACUACUUGCGUAGGCAGUCUGGCUAGAGUCCCCACCAUUACGUGCUGGUAACUAACCACAGGGGUUGCGCUCGUUGCGCCACUUAAGGCAACACCUCACGGCACGAGCUGACGACAGCCAUGCAGCACCUUCCACCCUGCCCCGAAGGGAAACCCCGUUUCCGGAGCGGUCAGGGCGGAUUUAGCCCAGGUAAGGUUCUUCGCGUUGCAUCGAAUUAAGCCACAUGCUCCACCGCUUGUGCGGGCCCCCGUCAAUUCCUUUGAGUUUCAUUCUUGCGAACGUACUCCCCAGGUGGUGUGCUUACUGCGUUAACUGCGUCACUGAUCGGUAAAGACCAACAACUAGCACACAUCGUUUACGGCGUGGACUAC
Molecule: unclassified non-coding RNA, 373 nt
Filed under: uncultured Bacteroidota bacterium
Lineage: Bacteria; Pseudomonadati; Bacteroidota
Description: uncultured Bacteroidetes bacterium contains 16S-23S intergenic spacer region
Source: RNAcentral